AGCAAACUGCGGGGGAGCCGCAAUGGCUGAGAGUCUGGUCCCGCGACGGCGGGAGUGGAGACCCCUUGAACCUGAUGCGGGUAAUGCCGCCGAAGGGAGCGAGGGUCCGAUGCCG
Molecule: non-coding RNA, 115 nt
Filed under: Verrucomicrobiota bacterium
Lineage: Bacteria; Pseudomonadati; Verrucomicrobiota
Description: Verrucomicrobia bacterium TPP sequence
Rfam family: TPP riboswitch aptamer (THI element)
About the family: Vitamin B(1) in its active form thiamin pyrophosphate (TPP) is an essential coenzyme that is synthesised by coupling of pyrimidine and thiazole moieties in bacteria. The previously detected thiamin-regulatory element, thi box was extended, resulting in a new, highly conserved RNA secondary structure, the THI element, which is widely distributed in eubacteria and also occurs in some archaea.
Source: RNAcentral